CCGAAGCUCUUCCCCUGCCAGAGGAGAUUCCUUUGAAGUCGAUGAUUCGAGACCUCCGAAGGAAAGUUCGUCAGUUGAUGAAGAAGUCUAAGAAGCUGGAAGACGAACUUCACUGGUUGAGGGAGAGCCAUUCAGAGGUCACUACGGAGGCUACUCGCUUUCGGGACCUCCACAAGAAGGGUUUCAUAGAAUACACCCA
RNAcentral lists this long non-coding RNA (199 nucleotides) under Elaeis guineensis (African oil palm). Its description in RNAcentral is "long non-coding RNA (EGUI_LNC052658)". Lineage: Eukaryota; Viridiplantae; Streptophyta; Magnoliopsida; Arecales; Arecaceae. The record is from RNAcentral.